GGCAGAGAGAGCCCGGCUUCCGUGCCCGCGGCGUUCGCGCCGGGGCAUGAGGAAAGUCCCCCCACCGUCCGGACAGGUGACCGGGCGCAAGCCCGGAGUCGGAGACGGCUGGCUCUGGAACAGAAACGAGACCACUCGGCCCGACCGAUGAGGUGCGCGAACCCGAGCGCAAGCGAGGGGAGUCGACCCACCGAGGGCAGGGAGGCGCGACGCGUCUCCGCGGCACGUGGCUCUGCCGCGUGCCUUCGGGACACCCGUCCCGCGACGGCCGAGAACGGAUGGAACGGCGAAUCCUCACCGGUGCAAGUCCGCCUCGCCAAGGUAGUCCGGACGCGGAGGUGGACGCUCAGCCGAAUGCCGGUCGAACAGAAGGGGGCUUACUCCUCUCAGCC
RNAcentral lists this RNase P RNA (392 nucleotides) under Haloplanus vescus. RNAcentral describes it as "Archaeal RNase P". It matches the Rfam family "Archaeal RNase P". Rfam says of the family: Ribonuclease P (RNase P) is a ubiquitous endoribonuclease, found in archaea, bacteria and eukarya as well as chloroplasts and mitochondria. Lineage: Archaea; Methanobacteriati; Methanobacteriota; Halobacteria; Halobacteriales; Haloferacaceae. The record is from Rfam by way of RNAcentral.